Molecule: long non-coding RNA, 1093 nt
Organism: Bicyclus anynana (squinting bush brown)
Lineage: Eukaryota; Metazoa; Arthropoda; Insecta; Lepidoptera; Nymphalidae
Exons: 2
Source: RefSeq, a predicted model, not a curated record
GAGUUCAUUGAUCGUAAAGUUCAUACGAUCGGCUACGAUCAACGAUUAAUCGUAAGUUUACAUUGGUAUUGUCUAAUUUAGUUCAUUAUAUGAAGACCGGAUGGUGAACGAUGAACUGAAAUCAUUCAUGAAGAUUGCGUAUUGUUUAUGCAAAACGAUAGUGAAACUAUCGUUAAUAAUAUUAUCAAAUUUAAGUCAAACUCCAUAAUAAUGCAUAUAUUUUAACAAAGUUUUAUGUCUUUUGUUUAAAACAUUAAAGAAGCAUUAAAUUUCACGAAAAAUAUCUACUAUUGAAGAAAAUAGCGUGAGAAAAUGGUACAUGCAUCUCGAGUAACAAAACGCAAUUAACGAAUUUAACCAAGGGCUAUUUGGACUAUUUGGUAAUCUCCCUGUUGUCUGUGUAGGCUAGUGUCAAAAUAACGGGUUAUCCUAUUAGUCUGUGGUGAAACAUAGCAUAUUAAUAACCUGUGGAUUAGAAAUUAUAAUUUAACAUAACAAAACAAAAUUUUCAUUUUUCAGAUUUUAAAGAGAAUUUAGAAAUUGAGCAAAGUUUUACUAAAUUAUAGUGAUCUUAGGAGCAAAGUUUACUUCGUUAUUGUUAUUUGAUAAAAGAAAACUACCUCUAUCUAAUUUUGUCGAUGUACAUUUCUUAAGAAGUUUCUCAUUAAAACAACGCUUAACUCAGGCAAGGCAGGGCUAUGGUGGUUAGCGUAACUACAAGUGGUUAACUUACAGUUAGCCAACUGAAGAACAAUCAACAAUGCCCGAUUAAUAAGUGAUCGCGCUGCUUGUCUACUACAUGUCCCUGCACUAGUUAUAGCAGUAAUUUCUUUGUUGGGAAGUAUUUAGCACAUCCGGGCUGCGCAAAAGGAGAGGACUAAAUUGAUUAUUAUGAACAGACCAUUAUGAUGAACCACUGAUAUUGACUCGGAGACAUGAAGAUGAGUGCUUUGACAACAAGACUGACUAGCUGAGCCAGCUUAAGAAUUAUGUGGUGUGUGUGUGUGUGUCUAAUUCCAGGAGCUCUCUAUGUCAGCCAUCCAUCUAUAUUCUUACUCAUUUUUGUUAAUUAUAAAAUAAAUUUGAUUAUUUA